Molecule: non-coding RNA, 69 nt
Organism: Triticum aestivum (bread wheat)
Lineage: Eukaryota; Viridiplantae; Streptophyta; Magnoliopsida; Poales; Poaceae
Source: Rfam
UCCAUUACUCAGUUGGUAGAGCGCAAGGCUCUUAAUCUUAUGGAUGUGGGUUCAAACCCCAUGGUGGAG